Molecule: long non-coding RNA, 3228 nt
Organism: Cyprinus carpio carpio
Lineage: Eukaryota; Metazoa; Chordata; Actinopteri; Cypriniformes; Cyprinidae
Source: Ensembl
AAAAUACAGAAAACAAUAAAUUUUUAAUAAAUUUAAGUAUCUAUAAUUCAACUGUUAUGGCACAGAUACAAUGUGCUUUCCUAAUAGAUGUAUGUACAAAGAGAUAUACAGACAGAGUGACAGAAUGAUGGAACGAUAGAUAGAUAGAUAGAUAUAGAUAGAUAGAUAGAUAGAUAGAUAGAUAGAUAAAUAGAUAGAUAGAUACUCUAUUCAAAUAAACAUAAGGAUAUACAGAGAUUUGAUCCCUGAUUUAUGAUCUGCACACACACACACAAACUCCUACACACCCAAAGUCCAUUAAACGUUCAGCACGAACAUAACCUUUCAGGUCAAAGUUGUUCCACAAGUGAUCUGAUCAGUAUCUGCAUGCAAAUCCAGACUCACAGUGUGCUGUUGUUAUGCAAUUUACAGUUCCAUCACAAUAAUGAUAUGCAUUACAAAAUAGCAUUUGUUAAGUAUUUCAAAAGGGGGUUGAAAGGGCCCAUAAAGUUCGGAAGGUCUUCCCACAGAAUUCUACAGCUCACAAUAGUCCUCUGCCAUUUCAGUUCAGCUGCUGAACAGAACUAAAGAGUUCUGUCCUGUCAUUGCUGUCAUUUAUGCAAUGCAUAAUUCAUGUGUUUGCAUUGCACAUAUGCAUACAUAACAUGCAAUGAGGGUGUUUUCACCAUCCGAGCUUUCAACAGGGGAUUUCGACUUCCUCUCCUCUACAUUAAAGCAGCCUGGUUUAUAUUCCACAUUCCAAGUGUUGCACAAGAUUACAGUAUUACUGACCUUGGCUGACUGCAUUCAUUUUCCCAGAAGAGUCUUGAAGACGAGGAGGAAUGAAUCUCUGUGGUUCUGGAGAGUGGAAAUACUCUGGUGUGAUGCUCUGUGCUGUUUCUCAGGGCUUCUCACCCGCCCAAUGAGAGGGUCCCUCUUCCCCCUCCUCGCCUUCUCAUUGUACAAAGACAUACAGGUGGAGAAAGCAUAGCGAAAGGAUUUGAGCCCGCCGUGCACCUGCCCCCUGAAGCCAGCCAAACACAGACAGACACUUCAGUCCUUCUCUACAGGAGUCCUGCUCUGUGGCCACAAAAUCUCUAAGAUCCGUUUCUCUUUUCUUUGCUAUCGAAUCUUGUCUUUUGUUGUGCUAUCAAACUUGCUCCCGUUUCCCAGAGGAAAAGUUUACUGCUCUUUCACCACUCAGGAGACUGAAAAGAAUUCUCAUGUCUUUCUGGAACUCAGCUGGAACUCAGUUUCUCCUAAAAGAUCCUCAAGGCAAAUAAAAAGAUACAGAUGAGAUAAUUAAUGACAUACAGCAAUAGAACAUAGUAUAUACCUGUAUAUAUGGAUGGAAUUCAUGUGGAGCACCAAAUCGGAGCACAAUUUGAGACAUUGUUGAUAUUAUUGGAGAUGUUUUCUCAGGAGAAACAUCUGAGAAGCAGGAGACCUACAAAAACAUCUCAAAUGAAUCUCACUGCUGUCUAGGAGAAACAUAAAAUAUACAACAACUAUACUAUAUAUAUAUAUAUAUGUGUGUGUGUGUGUGUGUGUGUGUGUGUGUGUGUGUGUGUAUUGAUGGAUUUGUAACUGGCCCGAUUGACUGCCACUGCUGCAUCCUCACUAAAGUUUAUAAUUUGCAAGUGUUUUUAUGCCUUGCCAAUUGAAAUAUUCAAGCAAUUUGAAAGCAUUGAAGCGCAAGAAGACUAAAUAAAGUGCAAGACAACUCAAUUUAGUACUCAUGCGUUCUGUGUGUGUGUUCUGUAUACAGUGCGCACAAAGAGAGCCACGUCUCAGGCAACGCCUCAUAUUUUCUUUCUGCAUCUUCUUGCGCUUGAACGGACAAAUACAGACAAAAAUAUGUCACAUACCUCUCUUGGUGACCAUCCUUGAAAACAGUCGGUUAUGUCUUAAGUGAACUUAAACAGAUGAGAAAGAAAUAGGAUGUAUAUCACUAUAUUCGACCCAUGCAUUGUGUUUAAAGUGAUCGCACCUAAUUUACCAGCUGCUGUCAUUGUCCUUACAGGGAUAGUUCACUCAACUAUCACAAUGCAUGCGUGUGGUGUUGCUGACGCAGGAGGCGGUGUUCUAAAAAUAGAACCUGGAUGCGCUGCACCUUGCUUACAAGCAGAAGACUGCAUAUGCUGUACAUAAAACAGUCUUCGUAAACAUGUUAUAUGAUUUCAACAGAGAAGAGGACUUUCAAUUUUUUUACUUCUUUGAACCAGAAUAUACAGACAAUGAACUAAGAGAGUUUUAUGUCGGAAUAACAGCAUCACACGCAUGCGUCGUGGGACUCUUGUGUCGAAGACUGACACAGAAGUUAAGAAAUUGUUGAACGGAGUCAUUAUUUUUGUUUUCUUUGUGCACAAAAAUUAUUCUUGUAGCUUCAUAACAUUACAGUUGGACCACUGAUGUCACAAGGGUGAUUUAAUAACUUUAAUAUUAAUGUCUUUUUUUUUAAGUGGUAUUUUACUGGUAUUGGUAAUGACUACUGAAAUGUGGGUACCAUUACAACAUUAUGCUAAACGGUUUCAUCUGAUUUAUUAUUUGAAGGCCAAGUGCCACUAUAAUGUUGUGUUUUUGUAAUGGUAAAAUGGUAAAAGGUUUAGAUAAAGGAGCUAAUGUUUAAGUAUUUUUGUUCUUUUUUAUCAUGGUAUAUCUACUUGAGUAUAAAGUAUCGUACUUUUGGUGAUAUCAGUAUCGACUAGGGGUUGCACAGACUAAUCGACUAGUCGACUUCAAUUCUAUGCCAUGACGCUUUAAGGUUGACUUCGCCUAGUCUCUGGUCCUGUAGAGGGCGCAACAGGAUAAGAAAUCUUUGAAGGACUUCCACAUUUACGCUCAGUUUCUGAACAGUAAAAUGACAAAUAAAUGCAUUCUCUGAAAGCGCUCCACAAGACAUGUAUUAUUAUAUUACUGGAUGCUCGAAAUUGAAUUGGAGAAUGCACGUUUUAAACAGCCUAUUGUACAGUAAAUUAAUAGCCGUUCUAAUCUAAUGCGCUGCUGCACUGUAAGGCACACACAUAGGCUACAGACAGUAGCUUGUACAUCACGCGCUGAUCUUGCGCACACAGAAUCAUUCAGCACAGAAAUGUAUUGUCAACACUGUUCUAAGAUUUUUUCAAUAAAAUAGCUUAGAAACUGAAAAGUUCAAGCAUAUAUUUCUUAACUAAAUCCCACAGCUUCACUACUAGUAGGGAGACGCUGCCAGGUAGAAUUAAUUCACUGACACUUUUAAACAAUUUAAUG